Molecule: ribosomal RNA, 516 nt
Filed under: Triticum aestivum (bread wheat)
Lineage: Eukaryota; Viridiplantae; Streptophyta; Magnoliopsida; Poales; Poaceae
Description: partial small subunit ribosomal RNA
Source: RNAcentral
AUGCUCGAUGGCGGCGUUGGUGAAGCUGGCAGCGGCUGGACAAAUCCAACGCCGCGAGCUUUGAUGGUGGACCAGCCUGUCUCGGACACCGGAGAAGACGGCGUCGGUGCAUGGCCCUUGACGACGGUAAGUUCGAUCUCGGAUCCGGACUUGGCGGAUAACGACGUGUGUAAUUUGUUUCAGAUUUUCUUUAGGGAGUCUCCGUAUUUGGUUUGGGUUGAUGUGGCGGCGACGUUUUCCAAUUUUAGGAAUAAUCUCUUGCCUGCCCUUUUCCCCGUUCAAUUGGUGUUCUUAUCACCGGCGGGGGAUGUGAGGUUUUGUGCCUCCGACGAGUUAGGCAACAAAUUAGAAAUGGUGUGGUGGGUGGCGCUCCUUAAAAGACCAUUUUCCCUCUUUUACUUUGACAUGCAACUGAAUUCUAUGAAUUUGGCCGAACAAGUUUUCCAGGGUGAUAGAUGGCCCAUUCACUUACCACAUGAUGUACCUUUUGUCAUGAGGAUUGAGGAGUUGUUGUAA